UACGUAGGGUGCGAGCGUUAAUCGGAAUUACUGGGCGUAAAGCGUGCGCAGGCGGCUUUGCAAGACAGAUGUGAAAUCCCCGGGCUCAACCUGGGAACUGCAUUUGUGACUGCAAGGCUAGAGUACGGCAGAGGGGGAUGGAAUUCCGCGUGUAGCAGUGAAAUGCGUUGAUAUGCGGAGGAACACCAAUGGCGAAGGCAAUCCCCUGGGCCUGUACUGACGCUCAUGCACGAAAGCGUGGGGAGCAAACAGG
Molecule: ribosomal RNA, 253 nt
Filed under: uncultured bacterium
Lineage: Bacteria
Description: partial 16S ribosomal RNA
Rfam family: Bacterial small subunit ribosomal RNA
Source: RNAcentral